Molecule: ribosomal RNA, 719 nt
Filed under: uncultured Planctomycetota bacterium
Lineage: Bacteria; Pseudomonadati; Planctomycetota
Description: bacterial SSU rRNA
Rfam family: Bacterial small subunit ribosomal RNA
Source: RNAcentral
UCGAGCGCCCCGCAAGGGGAGCGGCGCAAGGGUGAGUAAGGCGACGGUAACCAACCCCACGAUUGGGAAUAGCCGCGGGAAACUGCGGGUAAUGCCCAGCGACGUCUUCGGGAGGCAUCUCUCGAUGACCAAAGCUCCGGCGUCGUGGGACGGGCCGUCGUGGUAUUAGCUAGUUGGCGGGGUGACGGCCCACCAAGGCUGCGAUGCCUACCGGGCGUGCGAGCGUGGCCCGGCACACUGGGACUGAGACACUGCCCAGACUCCUACGGGAGGCUGCAGUCGAGAAUCUUCGGCAAUGGGCGCAAGCCUGACCGAGCGACGCCGCGUGGAGGACGAAGGCCUUCGGGUUGUAAACUCCUGUCGAGGGGGAGGAAGGCGCAAGCUUGACCGAUCCCUGGAGGAAGCACGGGCUAAGUUCGUGCCAGCAGCCGCGGUAAGACGAACCGUGCGAACGUUAUUCGGAAUCACUGGGCUUAAAGCGCGUGUAGGCGGGCCGGCACGUCGGUCGCUGAAAUCCCCCGGCUCAACCGGGGAAGUGGCACCGAUACGACCGGCCUGGAGGGGGGUAGGGGGCGCUGGAACUCACGGUGGAGCGGUGAAAUGCGUUGAGAUCGUGAGGAACGCCCGCGGCGAAAGCGAGCGCCUGGACCCUUUCUGACGCUGAGACGCGAAAGCCAGGGGAGCGAACGGGAUUAGAUACCCCGGUAGUCCUGGCCGUA